CAUACCGUAAACGAUGAAUGCUAAGUGUUGGAGGGUUUCCGCCCUUCAGUGCUGCAGCUAACGCAUUAAGCAUUCCGCCUGGGGAGUACGGCCGCAAGGCUGAAACUCAAAGGAAUUGAC
This 120-nucleotide ribosomal RNA is filed under the name uncultured bacterium. Its description in RNAcentral is "partial 16S ribosomal RNA". It matches the Rfam family "Bacterial small subunit ribosomal RNA", at positions 796 to 914 of the family's 1533-position model. The record is from RNAcentral.